GAGGAUGCGAGCGUUAUCCGGAUUUAUUGGGUUUAAAGGGAGCGUAGGUGGACUGGUAAGUCAGUUGUGAAAGUUUGCGGCUCAACCGUAAAAUUGCAGUUGAUACUGUCAGUCUUGAGUACAGUAGAGGUGGGCGGAAUUCGUGGUGUAGCGGUGAAAUGCUUAGAUAUCACGAAGAACUCCGAUUGCGAAGGCAGCUCACUAGACUGCAACUGACACUGAGGCUCGAAAGUGUGGGUAUCAAACAGGA
This 250-nucleotide ribosomal RNA is filed under the name uncultured bacterium. Its description in RNAcentral is "partial 16S ribosomal RNA". It matches the Rfam family "Bacterial small subunit ribosomal RNA", at positions 528 to 777 of the family's 1533-position model. The record is from RNAcentral.